UACGCUANUNUNNNNNNNUNNACCCCCCNNGUAGACGAACGCUGGCGGCGUGCUUUAUGAGGCGAUGNCAGGUCUGAUUGUCNNCGGCNAGAANGGGAGCUUUUUCCCGGAUGUUAUCGGCGGACGGGUGAGUAACACGUGGGUAACCUGCCUGUAAGACUGGGAUAACUCCGGGAAACCGGAGCUAAUACCGGAUAGUUCCUUGAACCGCAUGGUUCAAGGAUGAAAGACGGUUUCGGCUGUCACUUACAGAUGGACCCGCGGCGCAUUAGCUAGUUGGUGGGGUAAUGGCUCACCAAGGCGACGAUGCGUAGCCGACCUGAGAGGGUGAUCGGCCACACUGGGACUGAGACACGGCCCAGACUCCUACGGGAGGCAGCAGUAGGGAAUCUUCCGCAAUGGACGAAAGUCUGACGGAGCAACGCCGCGUGAGUGAUGAAGGUUUUCGGAUCGUAAAGCUCUGUUGUUAGGGAAGAACAAGUGCGAGAGUAACUGCUCGCACCUUGACGGUACCUAACCAGAAAGCCACGGCUAACUACGUGCCAGCAGCCGCGGUAAUACGUAGGUGGCAAGCGUUGUCCGGAAUUAUUGGGCGUAAAGGGCUCGCAGGCGGUUUCUUAAGUCUGAUGUGAAAGCCCCCGGCUCAACCGGGGAGGGUCAUUGGAAACUGGGAAACUUGAGUGCAGAAGAGGAGAGUGGAAUUCCACGUGUAGCGGUGAAAUGCGUAGAGAUGUGGAGGAACACCAGUGGCGAAGGCGACUCUCUGGUCUGUAACUGACGCUGAGGAGCGAAAGCGUGGGGAGCGAACAGGAUUAGAUACCCUGGUAGUCCACGCCGUAAACGAUGAGUGCUAAGUGUUAGGGGGUUUCGCGUUUUACCCGUGCUGCAGCUAACGCAAUUAAGCACUGCGGCUGGGGUGAUGUACGGUCGCAAGACUGAAACUCAAAA
Molecule: ribosomal RNA, 948 nt
Filed under: Bacillus pumilus
Lineage: Bacteria; Bacillati; Bacillota; Bacilli; Caryophanales; Bacillaceae
Description: bacterial SSU rRNA
Rfam family: Bacterial small subunit ribosomal RNA
Source: RNAcentral